GGGGAACUGUGAGGAAUCUGAGAAGGUUGGAAGUCAGCCCUGACCAGAGGGGAUGGGAUGUGAGAGACGGAUGUCAGGUGGCAUGAGGCAAGGGAAGAAUUUCAGAGGCAGGAAGAAAGUACACAUAAUAGCUCCCUGAGCAGAAACAGAAAUGGGAAGGGAAUAUGAUCUGAGAGAGAGUUUCAUCUGCCUUUACAAUGCCGGAGGCAGAGAUUGGCACACAAGGACAGGGUCUUGUCUUCUGGUAGCUUGUCUAAUACAGGACACAGGCAAGCUCACAAGAAACUGCCUCGUAGGGCUGAGUGAAAUUUGCUGAUAGAGCUGCAGAAUCACAUUCCUCAAAGACAGGAAGGAGCUUAACGGCCAUCGAUGUCUUUUGAGCAGGGAGAGGCCUGAUGGGAUUUGGAGAGCUGCCUGUUUCCUCUGCACUGCAGGAUGGGAUUGAGCGUGCCCCUGGCUGAGGAAGGAGGGCACAAGGACGCUGCGGCCGACAGGCCAGUUUCCAUAGGCAAGCCGUGGCUCAGCUGGCUCUUCCGCUCCAAGUCUCACAAGGCUGCAAUCAAGGUGUCAGCCUGGGCUACAGUGUGAUCUGAGACUCAGGUCUUCUUCCAAGCACAGGUGGUUGUCUGCAGAAUUCAUUUCUCUGCCGCUAUAGAACUCAUGGUGGCUCGUUUCCAGGCCAACAGGAGAGCUUCUCUUCUGCUUCAAGAGCUUAAAAUUCUUCUUAUCAUGCCCAUUUUUGUAUUGGGUGGUUUGUCUUCUUACUGAGUUGGAUGAGUACUUUAUAAAUUCUAGGUACAAGCCCUAUGCAGAUGUACAUAUUGCAAAUAUUUUCUCCCAG
Molecule: long non-coding RNA, 841 nt
Filed under: Homo sapiens (human)
Lineage: Eukaryota; Metazoa; Chordata; Mammalia; Primates; Hominidae
Description: non-protein coding lnc-LMO2-1:4
Source: RNAcentral